UACGUAGGGGGCUAGCGUUGUCCGGAAUCAUUGGGCGUAAAGAGCGUGUAGGCGGCCCGGUAAGUCCGCUGUGAAAGUCCAGGGCUCAACCCUGGAAGGCCGGUGGAAACUGUCGGGCUAGAGUCCGGAAGAGGCGAGUGGAAUUCCCGGUGUAGCGGUGAAAUGCGCAGAUAUCGGGAGGAACACCAAUGGCGAAGGCAGCUCGCUGGGACGGUACUGACGCUGAGACGCGAAAGCGUGGGGAGCAAACAGG
This 253-nucleotide ribosomal RNA is filed under the name uncultured bacterium. RNAcentral describes it as "partial 16S ribosomal RNA". It matches the Rfam family "Bacterial small subunit ribosomal RNA", at positions 524 to 776 of the family's 1533-position model. The record is from RNAcentral.